Alligator sinensis (Chinese alligator) is the source of this 654-nucleotide long non-coding RNA. RefSeq lists it as uncharacterized. The transcript is spliced from 4 exons. The record is from RefSeq and is a predicted model, not a curated record. NCBI's taxonomy places the organism in Eukaryota, Metazoa, Chordata, Crocodylia, Alligatoridae.
GGGGAGCGGGGCUGGUCCCGGCUCUCCCAUCGCAGGGCACAACCUGCACUUUCCCCUUCCCCGCACACGGGGCGGGACACAAGAGCCCCGGGGCGUGAGGUCCCCCGGGCAGAGGCGCUGGCUGUUGAGCUGGGGCCAGCACCAGCACGGCCCAGGGCCCCGCGGCGGGCAGGAGCACCGGGCACGACCUCCCCAGCACAGAGACUUCAGCACCAAGUCCUGCAGUUUGGAAGGGAAGAUAUGUCAUUGGACAAGAUGGUGCCCACUGGGGCAUUGUGGGAACAUCUCAGAUCCUGCCUGGCAUGGCCACAGCCCUUGAAGGAGGCAGGACAGGAUGAAACCGCAGAGCCUCAGGACGAGCCCCUUUGGGUCCCCAGGAAGGAGCUCCUGCCCCAGCAGGACCCAGAUCGCCUGAAAAGAGAGGAGACCUGGGAGUGGUCAGCUCAUGAAGGCUCCUCAGGCUGGUGCCCCAGAGCAGGCCCUUGUCCAGGAGCAGUAGGUGCAGGGACCCCGAGCAGAGCUGAGGAGGAGCCUCGUGAGGAAGGGCCUGGAAACCUGGAACUACAGGGGACUCCCCCAGGGAGACUGGGGGAAGGGGGCUCCCUGACACCUGAUCCAGGCCAACUGCACGUGGGGCAGGACAAACCCCCAAAG